CCCCAUGGAACACAGGAUGCGUGGCACUCGUAUUAAUAAGCCAGUCAUGGCACUCUUAUUAAUAAGUUAAGAUUUGUGGCUGGUUACCUGGCAUUGCUUAGGUUAGACUGUGAAUCUCAUGCACCCACCAGACUUUGAGGAAAAUUGAUGGUAGUAGUAAGUUCAGUAUUUUUUUGGUAUUGCUUUAACGUGAUCAGCUGCCUUUAGUCAAUCAGUAUCCUAGAGCCAUAUCAGGAUUUAAACGAUUAUCAGAAGUGCUUUUCAGUAUCGUUUUCAAAGAAAAUGGAUUUUAGACAAUUAUCUAAUGAAUAACAAAAGUGUAGUUUACUUAAGUAAAUGUACCAUUUUCUGUUUUACUAAGAAAAUGGUAUCGUAACUCUUUAAAUUUAGAGGAUCUUACAAGUAUGGGGA
This 411-nucleotide long non-coding RNA is filed under the name Bos taurus (domestic cattle). RNAcentral describes it as "long non-coding RNA NONBTAT025954". The record is from RNAcentral. Lineage: Eukaryota; Metazoa; Chordata; Mammalia; Artiodactyla; Bovidae.